UGAAUUGUUGAUGCUAAUGCAAAGUUUUCUUGUGUGUGUAGCAAUACUUCAAUAUCGGUACCCAGGCCAUCAAUGCCCUCAAGGGCACAGCGGAGGACCCUUAUCCUCACAAAUACCAUGUUGAUUUGUGCCUCACCGACUUCGUUGAGAAAUACAAUUAUCUGCAGCCAGGAGACCAACUCACAGAUGUCGUACUCAGUGUUACAGGCUGUGUCCAUGCCAAGAGAGAGUCUGGUGCCAAGCUGCUCUUCUACGACCUGCGGGGAGAGGGUCUCAAGUUGCAGGUUAUGGCAAACUCAAGGACCUACAAAUCGGAGGAGGCCUUUGUGGCCAUAAACAACAUUUUGCGCCGAGGGGACAUCAUUGGCGUCCGCGGUAACCCCGGGAAGACCAAAAAGGGGGGGCUGAGCAUCAUUCCCGUCGAGAUGACGCUUUUGUCUCCUUGUCUGCACAUGCUGCCCCACCUGCACUUUGGGCUCAAA
This is a long non-coding RNA of Gadus chalcogrammus (walleye pollock), 482 nucleotides long. RefSeq lists it as uncharacterized. Lineage: Eukaryota; Metazoa; Chordata; Actinopteri; Gadiformes; Gadidae. The record is from RefSeq and is a predicted model, not a curated record. The transcript has 3 exons.